CCUACGGGAGGCAGCAGUGGGGGAUAUUGCACAAUGGGGGAAACCCUGAUGCAGCGACGCCGCGUGUGGGAAGACGGUCUUCUGGAUUGUAAACCACUGUCCCCAGGGACGAAAAUGACGGUACCUGGGGAGGAAGCUCCGGCUAACUACGUGCCAGCAGCCGCGGUAAUACGUAGGGAGCAAGCGUUGUCCGGAAUUACGGGGUGAAAAGGGAGCGUAGGCGGGGAUGCAAGUUGGGUGUCAAAACUACCGGCUCAACCGAUAGUCGCACUCAAAACUGCAACUCUUGAGUGAAGUAGAGGCAGGCGGAAUUCCUAGUGUAGCGGUGAAAUGCGUAGAUAUUAGGAGGAACACCAGUGGCGAAGGCGGCCUGCUGGGCUUUUACUGACGCUGAGGCUCGAAAGUGUGGGGAGCAAACAGGAUUAGAUACCCGAGUAGUC
This 440-nucleotide ribosomal RNA is filed under the name uncultured bacterium. RNAcentral's name for it is "partial 16S ribosomal RNA". It matches the Rfam family "Bacterial small subunit ribosomal RNA", at positions 338 to 795 of the family's 1533-position model. The record is from RNAcentral.